Molecule: transfer RNA, 70 nt
Filed under: Dipodomys ordii (Ord's kangaroo rat)
Lineage: Eukaryota; Metazoa; Chordata; Mammalia; Rodentia; Heteromyidae
Rfam family: tRNA
About the family: Transfer RNA (tRNA) molecules are approximately 80 nucleotides in length. Their secondary structure includes four short double-helical elements and three loops (D, anti-codon, and T loops).
Source: Rfam by way of RNAcentral
GGGAAUGUGGCUUAGUGGUAGGGUGUUUGCCUCACAUGCAUGAAGCCCUGGGUUCAAUUCCUCAGUACCA